RNAcentral lists this long non-coding RNA (559 nucleotides) under Salmo salar (Atlantic salmon). RNAcentral describes it as "lncRNA (ENSSSAG00000099881.1)". The record is from RNAcentral. Lineage: Eukaryota; Metazoa; Chordata; Actinopteri; Salmoniformes; Salmonidae.
GGGUAGGUCACCAGGCGGUAAUAGUUAGGUCAGUAGUGGGUAGGUCACCAGGCGGUGCUAGUUAGGUCAGUAGUGGGAAGGUCACUAGGCGGUGCUAGUUAGGUCAGUAGUGGGUAGGUCACCAGGCAGUGCUAGUUAGGUCAGUAGUGGUUAGUGCACCAGGCGGUGCUAGUUAGGUCAGUAGUGGGUAGGUCACCAGGUGGUGCUAGUUAGGUCAGUAGUGUGUAGGUCACCAGGCGGUGCUAGUUAGGUCAGUAGUGGGUAGGUCACCAGGCGGUGCUAGUUAGGUCAGUAGUGGGUAGGUCACCAGGUGGUGCUAGUUAGGUCAGUAGUGGGUAGGUCACCAGGCGGUGCUAGUUAGGUCAGUAGUGGGUAGGUCACCAGGCGGUGCUAGUUAGGUCAGUAGUGGGUAGGUCACCAGGUGGUGCUAGUUAGGUCAGUAGUGGGUAGGUCACCAGGCGGUGCUAGUUAGGUCAGUAGUGGGUAGGUCACCAGGUGGUGCUAGUUAGGUCAGUAGUGGGUAGGUCACCAGGCGGUGCUAGUUAGGUCAGUAGUGGGU